UAUAUAAAAAAUUAUUAAUAAUAGAUUAUAGAAAAAACUUUUGUUUAUUAUUUAAAUAGAAAAAUUAUUUUUAAUUAUAGUUAAUUAGUAAAGUGAUUGAAUUUAAAAAUAUUUAUGAAAGAAAAAUUUAUUUUUUGUACCUUGUGCAUCAGGGCUGAUUAAUUGUAUUUUAUUUAAAAUAAUUUUCUCGAAUUUUAAAGAGUUAAUUAGUUAUUAAUUUAAAUGUGAAAUAAUUUUUUAUAAUAAUUAAUUAGAAGUGAAAUGCUAUUCGAUUUUUAAGAUAUCUAGUUUUUUAAGAAAAGAAUUUAAUUCUAUUAUUAUUUAUUUAAAUUUUAAUUUUUAAGGUUUAAGUUUUAAUAUUAAAAAUUUAAUGGGAUGAUCUUUUAAAUUUAAAAUUAAAAAUUUUUUAAAAUUUAAUUUUUUGUGUAAUUUGAAUUGUUAAUCAUAAAUAAUUUUAUAGUUAGAAAUUAAUAAAUUAAAAUUUAAUUUGUUUUAAUUUUUAUAUUAAAAAUAAAAAUUUAAUUUGAAAUUUUUGUUAUAAUGAUUAGAUUAGUAAUAUAUAAUUUAUUUUGUUAAUAUAAAUUAAGGUUAAAAAAAGGAAUUUGGCAAAAAAUUUUCUGCCUGUUUAUUAAAAACAUGUCCUUUUGAAAAUUAUUUAAGGUCUAAUCUGCUCAAUGAAAAAUUAAAUAGCCGCAGUAUUUUAACUGUGCGAAGGUAGCGUGAUAAUUAGUUUCUUAAUUAGAAACUUGUAUGAAUGAUUUGACAAGAAAAUUUCUGUCUCUUUUUAAUUAUUUAUUAAUUUAACUUUUAAGUUAAAAGGCUUAAAUGUUUAUAAAAGACGAGAAGACCCCAUAGAGUUUGAUUUUUUAUGUUAUUUUGGAAUAACUUUUGUAUUUAAAAAAAUUAGUUGGGGUAACUUAAAGAUAAAAUAAAUUCUUUAAAUAUAAAAUCAUUGAUUUAUGAAUUUAAAAUCUAAAUUAUUAAAUUUAAAUAAAGUUACCUUGGGGAUAACAGCGUAAUUUCUUUUUAGAGUUCUUAUCAAAGAAGAAGAUUGCGACCUCGAUGUUGGAUUAAAAUAAAAUUUAGGUGUAGAAGCUUAAAUGUUAAGUCUGUUCGACUUUUAAAAUUUUACAUGAUCUGAGUUUAAACCGGUGUAAGCCAGGUUGGUUUCUAUCUUUAUAAAAUUAUUAUGUUUUAGUACGAAAGGACCAAACAUAGAAUAUAUUACUUUAAUUUUGAAUU
This 1242-nucleotide ribosomal RNA is filed under the name Photinus pyralis (common eastern firefly). RNAcentral's name for it is "16S ribosomal RNA". The stretch from base 1007 to 1165 matches the Rfam family "Archaeal large subunit ribosomal RNA", at positions 2542 to 2701 of the family's 2987-position model. The record is from RNAcentral. Lineage: Eukaryota; Metazoa; Arthropoda; Insecta; Coleoptera; Lampyridae.